This 455-nucleotide ribosomal RNA is filed under the name uncultured anaerobic ammonium-oxidizing bacterium. RNAcentral's name for it is "bacterial SSU rRNA". It matches the Rfam family "Bacterial small subunit ribosomal RNA", at positions 381 to 826 of the family's 1533-position model. The record is from RNAcentral.
GGGUGACGAAGCGACGCCGCGUGGGUGAGGAAGGGCUUCGGGUUGUAAAGCCCUGUCAGGAGUUAAGAAAUGUAGACUCGCUAAUAUCGGGUCUAUUUGACAAAGGCUCCAAAGGAAGCCACGGCUAACUCUGUGCCAGCAGCCGCGGUAAUACAGAGGUGGCAAGCGUUGUUCGGAAUUAUUGGGCGUAAAGAGCACGUAGGUGGAUUUGUAAGUCAGACGUGAAAGCCUUUUGUUCAACGGAAGAAUUGCAUCUGAAACUACAAACCUUGAGUGUAGGAGGGGGGAAUGGAACUUCUGGUGGAGCGGUGAAAUGCGUAGAUAUCAGAAGGAACGUCGGCGGCGAAAGCGACUCUCUGGCCUAUUACUGACACUGAGUGUGCGAAAGUUAGGGGAGCAAACGGGAUUAGAUACCCCGGUAGUCCUAACUGUAAACGAUGGGCACUAAGUAGAGG